Molecule: small nucleolar RNA, 138 nt
Filed under: Geospiza fortis (medium ground-finch)
Lineage: Eukaryota; Metazoa; Chordata; Aves; Passeriformes; Thraupidae
Also listed under: 1 other name
Source: RNAcentral
UUGCAAACUUGAUCACUAGCUCUGCAUGAAGUUGCAGAAGCAAAGGGAACAGGUUUGCUAAAAUAAACAUGGUCAUAGACCCUGUAUUAGCCUUAGAAAUCUCAUUAUUUGGGCUGUUAACUCUAUGCCGUGACAAGG